This 216-nucleotide ribosomal RNA is filed under the name Glomeromycotina sp. RNAcentral describes it as "partial small subunit ribosomal RNA". The stretch from base 40 to 216 matches the Rfam family "Eukaryotic small subunit ribosomal RNA", at positions 686 to 864 of the family's 1831-position model. The record is from RNAcentral. Lineage: Eukaryota; Fungi; Glomeromycota.
GGGUCAGUAGGUUGGUCGUGCCACCGGUACGUACUGGUCUCACUGAUUCCUCCUUCCUGAAGAACCGUAAUGCCAUUAUUUUGGUGUUGCGGGGAAACAGGACUGUUACUUUGAAAAAAUUAGAGUGUUUAAAGCAAGCUAACGCUUGAAUACAUUAGCAUGGAAUAAUGAAACAGGACGAUCGAUCCUAUUUUGUUGGUUUCUAGGAUUGACGUA